Long non-coding RNA from Oncorhynchus tshawytscha (Chinook salmon), 2580 nucleotides. NCBI's taxonomy places the organism in Eukaryota, Metazoa, Chordata, Actinopteri, Salmoniformes, Salmonidae. The record is from Ensembl.
GAAAGGUAAAGUAGAUUAACUAGCCAGAUCAGAAUGAAGAAAGGUAAAGUAGAUUAACUAGCCAGAACAGAAUGAAGAAAGGUUAUUGUGCAUGAUGUUAUUGUCAACGGUUCUAUUUCAUAUGCAAAACAUUUUAGUCUUUUUUGAAAUUAUUACCUAGAAAAAUACUGUAAUUUGAAUUAUAAUUUAAAUUUGGAGGCCCAAUAUGAUUCAACACUACUGUGCUAAUUUAAGAUAUUUACUUAAAUUAAUCUAUUAAAAAUACAAUUAUUGUAAAAAGGUUAUAUAUAGAUUAUAAUUCACAUGUGUUUGUAUUUAAAAUAAAUAUAGAAAAAGGAAUGGAAUGUGUUACAGAAAGUAGUGAAAUUAAAAUGCAAAAUGAAAGAUGCAUAGUGGAAUUGAAUAUUGACCAAUUAUAAGCAAUGCCCAUUAUGGGAAAGUGCAACCUGAAAGGCCAAAUCUCCAUAUCUAUGUAAAUAAUAUUAUUUCUGUUUUCCAAGAUCCGGACAUUUUUACCACUAUUUUACCCCUUACUUAUUUUCCCGGAGCAACCCUUUGAAAAGCACAAAGGCCAGUGUGGAUCUCAAAACUUCCCAUUUGGUAUGACUAUUACAAAAUGCAGAUUAACAUUAUCAUACCAGAGACUGUUACAAUUGUAUCUUUGUUUUCUAAAGAACAAUAUUUUUUUUUUUUAAAGAAUCAUUUUGUAGGAUGUGUUCUAUGUAAGAGUGAGAUGGACCAAAAUCAUACACAUGUCAAAAAAAAAAAAGAUUACCAACCUAUUGACAUGAGACAUAUCCCUCCCAUCCCGUCAAUCCAGAUAACACAGUACUAUAAGCAUUAUUAUCACAGAAGUAGCAUUUGAGCAGUGACUGAAUGACAAUUCCUUCUAACAAUCCAGAGAUACUGUUUAACUUCAAACUUGUUUCCCACAUUAGUCCAGACCUCAGGAACAGUCGUGAAAAGUGACCAAAUUAUCUGAUGAAACUACUGAGAUGAUAGCCAGUCGUCUGUUGUUAGUCAAUCAUUCUAGUCCUAGUCUGACAGGUUUCCUAUGUCAGGUUCUGAAAGAGAAGCGUUAUAGAGGGACCACAACCUACCCUGGUCCGAAAACAUAGGCCUAUCUUAUAUUAUAUAUAUAUGUAUAUUACUACUGAAAUUAUACUUUUCUUUUUCAUUUUUUUGAAAAAGGAAACAUUAAUUAUCAAGUUGUUUUUCAAUAAAUAAAUAUAUAUAGUAUCAAUCAAAAAUAUGCACACACCUACUCAUUAAAAGGUUUUUCUUUAUUUUUUACAUUGUAUAAUAAUAGUGAAGACGUCAAAACUAUGAAGUAACACAUAUGGAAUCAUGUAGUAACCAAACUGAGAUGAUUUGGGAGGAGUUGGACCUUGGGGGGGAAGGAAAAGAAGCCAACAAGUGCUCAGCAUAUGUGGGAACUUCAAGAUGGUUGGAAAAUCAUUCCAGGUGAAACUGGUUGAGAGAAUGCCAAGGCGAAGUGUGACUACUUAUAUAUUCGUUUAACUCUUUUUUGGUUACUACAUGAUUCCAUAUGUGUUAUUUCAUAGUUUUUCUGCCUUCACUUUUAUUCUACAAUGUAGAAAAUAGUACAAAUAAAGAAAAAACCCUGAAAUGAGUAGAUUUGCCCAAACUGUUGAUUAGUACUGUAUAUAUACAUAUACAUAUACAGUGUGGCAAAUGCAUUCAAUGUGAUUUUCUGGAUUUUUGUUUUAGAUUCCGUCUCUCACAGUUGUACUGUACCUAUGAUAAAAAUUACAGACCUCUACGUGCUUUGUAAGUAGGAAAACCUGCAAAAUCGGCAGUGUAUCAAAUACUUGUUCUCCCCACUGUGUAGACCGAUUAGUACUAUAUAUAUACAUAUACAUAUCUAGACCGAUUAUAUAGUAAUCCAAGCAAAUUAUCAAAGUUGUGUUUCUAUAAAGAUUAAACUAGUUUGUUUCCAUGGCAGCGACAAAUGACAAAGAUCUGGUUUAAAUGAGUCAUUUUAGUCUCUGCAAAGAAUAUAAAACUAAAAUGUGCAAUGAAUUAAGGUUCCCAUUAAUUUUGUAUAAAGUUACCAUACUGCAGUUUUCUGUCUUAAAUGAUGUUGUAAAACUCUACUGUGUUAUACAUGUAACUGUGAAUGUCCAUAUGAGGUUUUUUUUGUCUAAAUGUUGAAAAAAAUCUGCUAUUAUUUGCUGUUUUCUGCAAUAAUAGGAUUAUUUCAGAAACUAAAGCACAUAGAUCUUAUAUUAUAUCUUUCUGAAAUGUAAAAAAAAAAAAAUAGAUGGCAAUAACAAUAAUAGUAUAAUAAUUAAAUCAUAGAUACACUUGUCUAGUCAAAGAAUCUUGUUUUGUAUAUUUCUACCAGUCUCAUGGGCCUAAUGUAAAAUAUUCUAUGUACAAUAUAUAAUACAUGUCGUUAGAUGGUGUUAUAUGAAAAAGCACGAUUGCCAUAUAUGUUAUCUGCAGAAGUAAAUAAAGAACUAUAGAUUAUAAUGUGUGCUUUCAUCAUGUAUAUAUUUUUUUAUGGGGGAAAUAUUUGUAUUUUAUAUAUAUAUUUUUUUACAGCUGAAUUAUUUC